RNAcentral lists this long non-coding RNA (282 nucleotides) under Zostera marina. Its description in RNAcentral is "long non-coding RNA (ZMAR_LNC001285)". Lineage: Eukaryota; Viridiplantae; Streptophyta; Magnoliopsida; Alismatales; Zosteraceae. The record is from RNAcentral.
GGUGCUUUGCGAGCUGCAGGAUCCUCCAUAGAAGAGGAAGAAAUAAUUGGGUACGUCGUCGACGGACUUGAUGAUACGUACAAAAGUUUUCUCACCCACCUUCACUUCAAUCCAACGACAUCCUUUGACACACUGGUGAGCCAUCUUCUUCAAGAAGAAGAUCUACUUAAAAGAACAGAGCAACCAACAACUCCUGCAGCCUUCGCUGCUACUACUGGAACCAACAUUACAGCGCAAUAAGCAACUGGCAACCAUUCAAAUCAGUCGCAGCCACAAAACCAC